AGACCCGAAACCCGGUGAUCUAGCCAUGGGCAGGUUGAAGGUUGGGUAACACUAACUGGAGGACCGAACCGACUAAUGUUGAAAAAUUAGCGGAUGACCUGUGGCUGGGGGUGAAAGGCCAAUCAAACCGGGAGAUAGCUGGUUCUCCCCGAAAGCUAUUUAGGUAGCGCCUCGUGAAUUCAUCUCCGGGGGUAGAGCACUGUUUCGGCUAGGGGGCCAUCCCGGCUUACCAACCCGAUGCAAACUGCGAAUACCGGAGAAUGUUAUCACGGGAGACACACGGCGGGUGCUAACGUCCGUCGUGAAGAGGGAAACAACCCAGACCGCCAGCUAAGGUCCCAAAGUCAUGGUUAAGUGGGAAACGAUGUGGGAAGGCCCAGACAGCCAGGAUGUUGGCUUAGAAGCAGCCAUCAUUUAAAGAAAGCGUAAUAGCUCACUGGUCGAGUCGGCCUGCGCGGAAGAUGUAACGGGGCUAAACCAUGCACCGAAGCUGCGGCAGCGAACGUAUCACCCAAGACAACUUUACGGAGUUGACGAUUGACGGAGCGAAGCGACGUCAAAGCGUUCAUUAAAGUCGAGUUGGCUUAGGGAUAC
RNAcentral lists this ribosomal RNA (594 nucleotides) under Salmonella enterica. Its description in RNAcentral is "partial 23S ribosomal RNA". It matches the Rfam family "Bacterial large subunit ribosomal RNA", at positions 711 to 1238 of the family's 2925-position model. The record is from RNAcentral. RNAcentral also lists the same sequence under 3 other names. Lineage: Bacteria; Pseudomonadati; Pseudomonadota; Gammaproteobacteria; Enterobacterales; Enterobacteriaceae.